AUCAGUUUCAAGGCUGCCCCCAUUUUGCUUUGACCAAUACUUCUGAACGGAAGCAAACACAAUCUUUGGGGCCUGUUUACUAAAAUAGUAGAGAGACAUAGAAAAUUUCCACCAAUACAACAUGAUUGUAUUAAAAAUAAAUAAAAGAACAGAGCAAGGAUACAGGUUGUGCCAAAAUAUAGAACACCAAAUGGUAACCCUCUAAAAAUUGGUAAAAAUGCACCAAGAAAUAUACACUACAAAAUAAAAAAUACCAGAUCGUUAAACACAGUCCUGAAGUGACAAUCCUUCAAAUUUUCUUAUGUUCUUGGGACAGCUUCACUUUGUGGCAGCGUAUGAAAAACAUAUGGGCAACCUUGUAGGGGGUUUGAAGAAGAGUGAGUUGUCAAAAUGUUAAACUUUUAGAUUUAAAAGUGAAUGUUAUUAGUUGAUUUAGUAAGGAUAAUUUUCGAAUAUUUGAGGGAGAGGACACCAGAUUAUAGAAGGUCAAAGAUUGGUCCAAUUUAGUGAAAAUGUUUAGUUCUCUUACAUUAUUUUUAGAGGGAAAAGAGUUUCCACACUUACAGUCAAGGUGGAAUACCGCUUAGAGUGCAGGCAUAUUUACACAUAGUACUGGG
Molecule: non-coding RNA, 617 nt
Organism: Pelobates cultripes (western spadefoot toad)
Lineage: Eukaryota; Metazoa; Chordata; Amphibia; Anura; Pelobatidae
Source: the annotation of a GenBank genome assembly